AGCGAACGCUGGCGGCAGGCUUAACACAUGCCAGUCGAGCGGGCCCUUCGGGGUCAGCGGCAGACGGGUGAGUAACACGUGGGAACGUACCCUUUGGUUCGGAAUAACGCUGGGAAACUAGCGCUAAUACCGGAUACGCCCUGUUGGGGAAAGGCUUGCUGCCGGAGGCUCGGCCCGCGUCUGUUUAGCUUGUUGGUGGGGUAAUGGCCUACCAAGGCUAAGAUAAGUAGCUGGUCUGAGAGGAUGAUCAGCCACACUGGGACUGAGACACGGCCCAGAAUCCUACGGGAGGCAGGAGUGGGGAAUAUUGGACAAUGGGCGCAAGCAUGAUCCAGCCAUGCCGGGUGAGUGAUGAAGGUCUGAGGGAUGUAAAGCUCUUUUGUCCGGGACGAUAAUGACGGUACCGGAAGAAUAAGCCCCGGCUAACUUCGUG
This 433-nucleotide ribosomal RNA is filed under the name uncultured bacterium. RNAcentral's name for it is "partial 16S ribosomal RNA". It matches the Rfam family "Bacterial small subunit ribosomal RNA", at positions 29 to 507 of the family's 1533-position model. The record is from RNAcentral.